GAUGAACGCUGGCGGCGUGCCUAAUACAUGCAAGUCGAGCGAACAGACGAGGAGCUUGCUCCUCUGACGUUAGCGGCGGACGGGUGAGUAACACGUGGAUAACCUACCUAUAAGACUGGGAUAACUUCGGGAAACCGGAGCUAAUACCGGAUAAUAUAUUGAACCGCAUGGUUCAAUAGUGAAAGACGGUUUUGCUGUCACUUAUAGAUGGAUCCGCGCCGCAUUAGCUAGUUGGUAAGGUAACGGCUUACCAAGGCGACGAUGCGUAGCCGACCUGAGAGGGUGAUCGGCCACACUGGAACUGAGACACGGUCCAGACUCCUAAGGGAGGCAGCAGUAGGGAAUCUUCCGCAAUGGGCGAAAGCCUGACGGAGCAACGCCCGUGAGUGAUGAAGGUCUUCGGAUCGUAAAACUCUGUUAUUAGGGAAGAACAAAUGUGUAAGUAACUAUGCACGUCUUGACGGUACCUAAUCAGAAAGCCACGGCUAACUACGUG
RNAcentral lists this ribosomal RNA (496 nucleotides) under uncultured bacterium. RNAcentral describes it as "partial 16S ribosomal RNA". It matches the Rfam family "Bacterial small subunit ribosomal RNA", at positions 28 to 507 of the family's 1533-position model. The record is from RNAcentral.